GGGAGGUCCCAGCCCCCACACAUCCAGUCCAGCCCUAGAUGAACGCUGUUGAGUGUCACUUACCAACCUGCUCUUCUGCCACUUUCUUAACACCCACUUUCUCCUUCCUCUUCCCAUUCUGUUCCAGGGAUCUGAUGGAACAAACUGCCCUCAGACACCACUGAGAUCGUGACACAGGCCAGUGCACUUCAGGAAAUUCAAACUGACAGGAGCCCCUGCCUUCUGCUGUUGCAAAAGUGGCUUGCUGUAGCAAGACGCCAGCUCAGAGCCACGGGCUGGCUGCAACUAAAAGUUCUUGACCCUCCCUCCGGAGAAGGGAGUGCCUGGGGGGCUGAAAGCUUUGGCGGGGUUGAGAUAAACACUCAGGUUAAGGCAUUUUUCAUCUGUUUAACCAGAUCUCGUUAUAUUGUCAAACAAGACUGCAGCGCUCACAAGAAACAGCUAUGGUAUUCUUGUCGAGAGGUGGGAUGAGAAGGAAGAAUUUAUUUUUUCCACUAAGGUUAAUUCCUCCGAUGCUGGGAGGCCAGGCAAAGUUUUUACUGGGAUGGAAAUGAAGGCUGAAGAGGUGAGCUCUUGGAGUCAUUGAAGGGAAGCCUGAUGGCACUUCAUAUGGCCCUGCCUUGCCAGGUGGGGAGGAAAGAGAACGUUAGUAAUAAUCUUGCCUACAUCCUAGGCAGAGAACUUCCCCCUUUUCAGGGCACCCACGUAAGUCAUCCCUAAUUGCAUAUUCCCUUGCUAUGUCGACUCUCCUUCGCUGACUCCAGGAAAAUGCCACCUUGCCUUUUAUUGCCUUUUUUUUUUAAAUAACUUCUCUUACCUUUUCCAGGUUGAGUUGAAUGUAACCAUUGCUUGGUCCUGAUGAUGCUCAAGUUAACUACAUGACCAUGCUACCCAGCCAUGAGUCCAGAUUAUACAGACCUAGUGAUGACCCAUGUGAAAAUACUUACAGUUAGUCCUAAACCAUGGUCUCACUGAAACAGACCAUCUGCAUUUUAGAAAAUCCAAAGCAAAUGUCUGCUUAUAUUCAUUGCUUUGGAGCACGGAAUGUAAUGUAUCGUCUGUCUGUACCGCAAUUCAUCCAUUCACCCACUGAAGGGUAUCUUCAUUGCUUCCCCAAACAUCCCCUUGGUUGCUACUCUAAACAUCUGGGCAGGUUGUUUUCAACUCCUUUGGGUAAACACCAAAGAGCACAAUCGCUGGACUGCAUGUGUUCGAGGGGCUCGCUGAUGAAUGUUCUGGAGUAGCCCUGACCCUGCUUAACAUGAGUUGUUCCUGUGAAGUUCCUUAAGGACACCAUGGUCUGCUCAUCUUUCUACUUCCAGAUCUGGAAUAGUUGAGACCAAGUAAGUGUUGAAUUGGAAGUUUCCAGGGGUUCUGGAAGCCAGACUGCCUUGGGUCCAGAGCCUCCUUGUGGCAUAAAGUUCCUGGUGGUCCCUGGGUAGAAACUCCAUUUCUUUGGGUCUCAGUUCUGUUGUCUGGAGAAUACUAGCACAUACCUCAGAGGGUGAUGGUAAAGAUGAAAUGAAUGUAUACAUUCAAAGGACACAGAUCAGCGGGAACUAGAGAAACAUUCGCUGUUAUUAUUAAGCAGGGUUAAUAAAUGGUUCAAUUCAACACA
This 1618-nucleotide long non-coding RNA is filed under the name Felis catus (domestic cat). RNAcentral describes it as "lncRNA (ENSFCAG00000052644.1)". The record is from RNAcentral. Lineage: Eukaryota; Metazoa; Chordata; Mammalia; Carnivora; Felidae.